This 425-nucleotide ribosomal RNA is filed under the name uncultured bacterium. Its description in RNAcentral is "partial 16S ribosomal RNA". It matches the Rfam family "Bacterial small subunit ribosomal RNA", at positions 354 to 796 of the family's 1533-position model. The record is from RNAcentral.
GUGGGGAAUCUUGCGCAAUGGGCGAAAGCCUGACGCAGCCAUGCCGCGUGAAUGAUGAAGGUCUUAGGAUUGUAAAAUUCUUUCACCGGGGACGAUAAUGACGGUACCCGGAGAAGAAGCUCCGGCUAACUUCGUGCCAGCAGCCGCGGUAAUACGAAGGGGGCUAGCGUUGCUCGGAAUUACUGGGCGUAAAGGGCGCGUAGGCGGAGCGUUAAGUCAGUGGUGAAAUCCUGCAGCUUAACUGUAGACUUGCCAUUGAUACUGGCGCUCUUGAGUGCGCUUGAAGUGGGCGGAAUGUGCCGUGUAGCGGUGAAAUGCUUAGAUAUGGCACAGAACACCAAUUGCGAAGGCAGCUCACUAAGGCGAUACUGACGCUGAGGCACGAAAGCGUGGGGAUCGAACAGGAUUAGAAACCCGUGUAGUCC